Long non-coding RNA from Piliocolobus tephrosceles (Ugandan red Colobus), 1639 nucleotides. NCBI's taxonomy places the organism in Eukaryota, Metazoa, Chordata, Mammalia, Primates, Cercopithecidae. The record is from Ensembl.
UUUUGAGUGUAUAGAAGUAGUAAUAGCACCUGUUUAGCACUCCGUACGUACUUCUAAAGUUUGUUACUCAGAAAACUGCUCUUUAGUUAGUGCAAAAAAAAAAAAAAAAAAUUAAAAAAUAAAAGUAAAUACAUUUUAAAGAAGCAAACAAACAAGAUGGAACAUAAAAAACCGAAGAAGCAUAGCAUUGAACAAGCAAUGAACGACUAUUUGAUAAACCUAAGCAAUUUAUACAAAAAUUCUUUACCUUCUAGUGAUAAUGAAAAUAAUAUAAAAAAAAUAUGGAAAAAAAAUAACAUAAACAUUGAUACGUUAAUAAAUAAUAUAGAUAUAAUAAAAAAAAAAAAAAGUACGUACAGCAGUAGUAUUGUUGAUUUACAGAACGACAUCAAGCAUACCACUACUAGCAUGUAUGAUAGUGAUAACACUAGUAGUUAUAAAACAAGUCUUAAUAACAACAAUAGUAAUGAUAAUAAUACUAAAAACAUUUACUAUAUUAAUAAUAUCAACUUAUUAAGUGAAGACAAAAAUGAACCAAUAUAUUACGAUAAGUUAAUGGAUUAUAUUUUUCCAUCAAAAGAGAGGGAAAUCUACACCGGCAUUAAAAACCUUAUAAAAAACGAACAAGAUUAUGAACAAAUCGAAUUAAAUGAGUUUUUAUUUUGCUAUCUAUACAUGUUAGCAAUUAAAAAAAUAUAUUACGAUAUUGUUGCACAAAAGAAAAUAAAAAAUUGUUUACAAAAAGGUGCUUACGUUGACAUGGGUGAACAAAUCGACACAGAUGAACAAAUCGACACAGAUGAACAAAUCGACACAGAUGAACAAAUCGAAACAGAUGAACAAAUCGAAACAGAUGAACAAAUCGACACAGAUGAACAAAUCGAAACAGAUGAACAAAUCGACACAGAUGGUAAUCCCGACACAGAUGGUAAUCCCGACAGUGGUGAUAACCCAAUAAAAAAAAAAGGCCAAGAACAAUAUACUUAUAACUUAAAUAGAAUAAAAAAAGACAUCGAUAACACAUUUAUGGGUUCUUCCGUUUCUUACGAUGCUUAUCACAAUUAUAUAAAUAGUGAUGUUGCUAGCAAAGAAGUUAAUAAUUUAAAUAUACAUACUACUCCAAAUAUGUCAUUUGAUUUCAAUAAAGAAAAGGUAAAAAAUGAAAAAACGGAUAAUGCUGACUUAGUAGUAACAGGUGUUACAACUAAUAAUAUCCAUAUGUCUGAUAAUAAUUACAAAAAAAGAAACAAUAAUAUUACGCACCAAUUGAAUAAAGAUUUAUAUGUUAAAAGUAGAAACGUGCAAAACAAAUUUGGAUUAUAUGUGAAUAAAAAUUCACAUAGCUAUAGUUCGCUCCCACGAACAAAUGAUAACAACAAAUUUAACACGUAUCUAUCUAAAACACUGUCAAACGAUUUAUCAAUAUUGAAAAAAAAAACAGAAGAACUUAAAAAAAUAAAAAAGAAUAGUAAAAAUAAUAGUCACAACAAUUUGGAUGUGUUACUAUCACUUACAAAUGGUGAAGAAGAUGAAGAAGAUGAAGAAGAAGAAGAAGAAGAAGAAGAAGGAGAAGAAGAAAGAGAAAGAGAAGAAAAAAGAGAAAGAGAAGAAAAAAGAGAAAGAGAAGAAAAAAGAGAAA